RNAcentral lists this ribosomal RNA (297 nucleotides) under Triticum aestivum (bread wheat). RNAcentral describes it as "partial small subunit ribosomal RNA". The record is from RNAcentral. Lineage: Eukaryota; Viridiplantae; Streptophyta; Magnoliopsida; Poales; Poaceae.
AUGGACAAUGUGUUCCCUGGAGUAGAGCAUAGGGAAUGCAUGCGUCACCUUGCUGCAAAUUUCAUGAAGAAAUUCAAAGGAAAGGUGUAUACCGACAAUUUAUGGCCAGCAUCUUUGACUUGCAGUGUGAAGAAGCACAACUACCACUUGAGGCAGUUAUACAUGAAUCCCAAAGUGAAAGAAUACUUGGAAACACACCACUCCAAGUUAUGGGCCAGAAGCCAAUUUAGUGAACUGAGCAAAGUUGACUAUGUGCACAAUAAUCUAGCAGAGUCUUUCAACUCAACGAUCCGGAAA